RNAcentral lists this ribosomal RNA (482 nucleotides) under uncultured bacterium. Its description in RNAcentral is "partial 16S ribosomal RNA". It matches the Rfam family "Bacterial small subunit ribosomal RNA", at positions 29 to 507 of the family's 1533-position model. The record is from RNAcentral.
ACGAACGCUGGCGGCGUGCUUAACACAUGCAAGUCGAACGCUGAAGCUCAGCUUUUGUUGGGUGGAUGAGUGGCGAACGGGUGAGUAACACGUGAGUAACCUGCCCCCUUCUUUGGGAUAACGCCCGGAAACGGGUGCUAAUACUGGAUAUUCACUGGUCUUCGCAUGGGGGUUGGUGGAAAGGGUUUUUCUGGUGGGGGAUGGGCUCGCGGCCUAUCAGCUUGUUGGUGGGGUGAUGGCCUACCAAGGCUUUGACGGGUAGCCGGCCUGAGAGGGUGACCGGUCACAUUGGGACUGAGAUACGGCCCAGACUCCAACGGGAGGCAGCAGUGGGGAAUAUUGCACAAUGGGCGCAAGCCUGAUGCAGCGACGCCGCGUGAGGGAUGGAGGCCUUCGGGUUGUGAACCUCUUUCGCUCAUGGUCAAGCCGCAACAAUGGUUGUGGUGAGGGUAGUGGGUAAAGAAGCGCCGGCUAACUACGUG